Molecule: long non-coding RNA, 2564 nt
Organism: Oncorhynchus tshawytscha (Chinook salmon)
Lineage: Eukaryota; Metazoa; Chordata; Actinopteri; Salmoniformes; Salmonidae
Source: Ensembl
CCGGUGUCUCCUUCCUCGACUGACUGACAACCUGUCUACAACGUUCCUCUUCCGGUGUCUCCUUCCUCGACUGACUGACAACCUGUCUACAACGUUCCUCUUCCGGUGUCUCCUUCCUCGACUGACUGACAACCUGUCUACAACGUUCGUCUUUCUGUGUCUCAUUCAAAACAAACCCGUUUCAGGAAAUCUAAAAAAAAUAUUUAAAAAAUGUGUUUGAUCUCACUGUUGGGCAACUGUAAUAGAUAUUCAGCCUCGAAACAAAUAGUAACCAGGAAGUAUCUGUGGUGGUUUAUCAAUGGUCACUCUCUUAAGUCAUGUCCUGCCGCCAUUGUUACAAGGAGUUUAUUAGCAUCGUGACGUGUGUGACGGCAUUUACACUCCAUCAAUGACAACUUCCUGAUUUACUGCAUUAGACCAUCUCAAGGAAAUGGAUUGGUCGAAACGUAAAGUGCUUUAGACAGGCGUGUUUAAAGUGACUACGAGUGUGUAGGUCUACGGCAAACAACAUGACAUGAGGAGACUGGCGUGGUUUGACAUGAUUAGACUAUGGCACAUCUACAUUGUCAUAUGGCUGGGUUACUGUAUUCCAACAGGGAUGGGUUACUGUAUUCUAACACGGCUGGGUUACUGUAUUCUAACACGGAUGGGUUACUGUAUUCUAACACGGAUGGGUUACUGUAUUCUAACACGGCUGGGUUACUGUAUUCCUACAUGGCUGGGUUACUGUAUUCUAACACAGCUGGGUUACUGUAUUCUAACACGGAUGUUACUGUAUUCCAACACAGCUGGGUUACUGUAUUCUAACACGGAUGGGUUACUGUAUUCUAACACAGCUGGGUUACUGUAUUCCAACAUGGCUGGGUUACUGUAUUCUAACACAGCUGGGUUACUGUAUUUAAUAUAGCUGGGUUACUGUAUUCUAAUAUGGCUGGGUUACUGUAUUCUAACACGGCUGGGUUACUGUAUUCUAACACGGCUGGGUUACUGUAUUCUAAUAUGGAUGGGUUACUGUAUUCUAACACAUCUGUAUUCCAACAUGGCUGGGUUACUGUAUUCUAACACGGAUGGGUUACUGUAUUCCAACACAGCUGGGUUACUGUAUUCUAACACGGAUGGGUUACUGUAUUCCUACAUGGCUGGGUUACUGUAUUCCAACAUGGCUGGGUUACUGUAUUCUAACACGGCGUGGUUACUGUAUUCUAAUAUGGCUGGGUUACUGUAUUCUAAUAUGGCACAUUACUGUAUUGUAAUAUGGCUGGGUUACUGUAUUCUAACAAGGCUGGGUUACUGUAUUCACACACGGCUGGGUUACUGUAUUCCUACAUGGCUGGGUUACUGUAUUCUAACAAGGCUGGGUUACUGUAUUCACACACGGCUGGGUUACUGUAUUCCUACAUGGCUGGGUUACUGUAUUCCAACAUGGCUGGGUUACUGUAUUCUAACACGGAUGGGUUACUGUAUUCUAACACGGAUGGGUUACUGUAUUCUAACACGGAUGGGUUACUGUAUUCUAACACGGCUGGGUUACUGUAUUCCUACAUGGCUGGGUUACUGUAUUCUAACAUGGCUGGGUUCCUGUAUUCUAAUAUGGCUGGGUUACUGUAUUCUAAUAUGGCUGGGUUACUGUAUUCUAAUAUGGCUGGGUUACUGUAUUCCAACACGGAUGGGUUACUGUAUUCCAACAUGGCUGGGUUACUGUAUUCUAACAUGGCUGGGUUACUGUAUUCCAACAUGGCUGGGUUACUGUAUUCCAACAUGGCUGGGUUACUGUAUUCUAACAUGGCUGGGUUACUGUAUUCUAACAUGGCUGGGUUACUGUAUUCCAACAUGGCUGGGUUACUGUAUUCUAACAUGGCUGGGUUACUGUAUUCCAACAUGGCUGGGUUACUGUAUUCUAACAUGGCUGGGUUACUGUAUUCCUACAUGGCUGGGUUACUGUAUUCCUACAUGGCUGGGUUACUGUAUUCCUACAUGGCUGGGUUACUGUAUUCCUACAUGGCUGGGUUACUGUUUUCUAAUAUGGCUGGGUUACUGUAUUCCUACAUGGCUGGGUUACUGUAUUCCAACAUGGCUGGGUUACUGUAUUCCAACAUGGCUGGGUUACUGUAUUCCAACAUGGCUGGGUUACUGUAUUCCACUGUCUCCUGUCCUGUCAGUCUAUACUAUCAGUAUUGCAGAGAAGAUGACAGUGUUGAUGAGAAACAGGGAGGAAGAGAGAGAGAAAUAGAAUGGGGAGGAAGGGAUAUUGGUUUCCCCUAUGACCCCCAACCUAGGGUGCUGUUUUCAAUGUGCAUGCUAGCCGUGUGCGUGCGCACGUUUGUAAGUUUGUGGAAGACCAGCAUCCCUGUGUGAUUAUGGUUUGGUCAGGUACAUUUACAUUUGUAUUCAACCUUUAUUUAACAAGGCAAGUCAGUUAAGAACAAAUUAUUAUUUACAAUGACGGCCUAGGAACAGUGGGUUAACUGGUCUAGGAACAGUGGGUUAACUGGUCUAGGAACAGUGGGUUAACUGGUCUAGGAACAGUGGGUUAACUGGUCUAGGAACAGUGGGUUAACUGGUCU